GCAGGCAUAGCUCAAUGGUAGAGCUCCACCCUUCCAAGGUGGCUGUUACGAGUUCGACUCUCGUUGCCUGCU
This 72-nucleotide transfer RNA is filed under the name Fibrobacter sp. Its description in RNAcentral is "tRNA-Gly". It matches the Rfam family "tRNA". From Rfam's summary of the family: Transfer RNA (tRNA) molecules are approximately 80 nucleotides in length. Their secondary structure includes four short double-helical elements and three loops (D, anti-codon, and T loops). The record is from RNAcentral. Lineage: Bacteria; Pseudomonadati; Fibrobacterota; Fibrobacteria; Fibrobacterales; Fibrobacteraceae.